UUUGAGAGUUCAGAUGAGAUAGUAACAAAUCUGGCUAGGUAUAUCUCGCAAGUUUCAGAAAUCUCUGCUAAAUAAAGUGGAUUCUUCACCAGUGCCCUAUCUGGAGGGCCCCUUGUCAUUUUUUAAAGGAAACUUUGUGAAGCAUCGUACAACAAUACCCUGGAUUGGUUUAAAUGGUAUAUAUUUUGGUCUGAUGAAUGUGCUAUAGCAAAGAACCAUGCAAGCAGUAACUAUAAGUUAACAAAAGAAGGAUUUCUAUCAAAGCUAUGUGGACUUUAG
RNAcentral lists this ribosomal RNA (279 nucleotides) under Triticum aestivum (bread wheat). RNAcentral describes it as "partial small subunit ribosomal RNA". The record is from RNAcentral. Lineage: Eukaryota; Viridiplantae; Streptophyta; Magnoliopsida; Poales; Poaceae.